RNAcentral lists this non-coding RNA (748 nucleotides) under Idiocerus laurifoliae. Lineage: Eukaryota; Metazoa; Arthropoda; Insecta; Hemiptera; Cicadellidae. The record is from RNAcentral.
AUAAGUUUGAUUCUUGCUUAUCUAUUAAUUUAUUAAAUAAUUUAUAUGUUAUUUUUUUAAUAUUUUUGUUUUGCAGUAAAUUUAAUUGUUUAUAAUUGAUUAUUUUUAAUUAGCAGUGAUUUAAUAAUAAUGGAUAAAUUUUGUGCCAGCAAUCGCGGUUAUACAAUUCAUUAAAAUUAAUAUUUUAAUUUUUUAUAAUUAUUUAUAUAUUGAUUUUGAAUUUAAUUUAUUUAGGUGGAAUUUAUAUAUUCUUUUAAAAUCUUUAUUAGAGUUUAUUAAAUCAGUAUUUUAAACUAGGAUUAGAUACCCUAUUAUUCUUGUACUUAAAUAUUUAGUGAAUAUUAGUAGUUAUGUUCUAUUAAACUCAAAGAAUUUGGCGGUGAAUUAUAUCUUUUUAGAGGAGCCUGUUUUUUAAUUGAUAAACCACGAUAAUUUUUACCUUUAAUUUUAUUUGUAUACCUCUAUAAUUAGGAAUGUUAUUUAAAUAUAUUUUCUUUAUUUUUAUUAAAUUAUAUUAGGUCAAGGUGCAGUUUUAUUUAGGUAAAUAUGGGUUACUUUAAUAAUAAAUUUUUAUAUUUAAUUAUUCUACAUUUAUGAUAAAAUUUAAAAUAGGAUUUAAUAGUAAUUUUAUUUAAUUAUUUAUUAUGAAAUUAGUUUUAAUUCAUGUACAUAUCGCCCGUCACUCUCUUUAAAAUGGGAUAAGUCGUAACAAAGUAGGUGUACCGGAAGGUGUAACUAGAAAGUUUAU